UUAACACAUGCAAGUCGAGCGGAAACGAUGGUAGCUUGCUAUCAGGCGUCGAGCGGCGGACGGGUGAGUAACGCGUAGGAAUCUGCCUAGUAGUGGGGGACAACAUGUGGAAACGCAUGCUAAUACCGCAUACGCCCUACGGGGGAAAGGAGGGGAUCUUCGGACCUUUCGCUAUUAGAUGAGCCUGCGUGAGAUUAGCUAGUUGGUGGGGUAAAGGCUCACCAAGGCGACGAUCUCUAGCUGGUCUGAGAGGAUGAUCAGCCACACUGGGACUGAGACACGGCCCAGACUCCUACGGGAGGCAGCAGUGGGGAAUAUUGGACAAUGGGGGGAACCCUGAUCCAGCCAUGCCGCGUGUGUGAAGAAGGCCUUAGGGUUGUAAAGCACUUUCAGGAGUGAGGAAGGGUGUGCCGUUAAUACCGGUAUAUUUUGACGUUAACUCCAGAAGAAGCACCGGCUAACUCUGUGCCAGCAGCCGCGGUAAUACAGAGGGUGCAAGCGUUAAUCGGAAUUACUGGGCGUAAAGCGCGCGUACGUGGUUUGUUAAGUCGGAUGUGAA
Molecule: ribosomal RNA, 559 nt
Filed under: uncultured bacterium
Lineage: Bacteria
Description: bacterial SSU rRNA
Rfam family: Bacterial small subunit ribosomal RNA
Source: RNAcentral